GAAAAGAAGAGGAUAAAAUGGACUGAUUGAUACAGCUCACAGGACAGCUGAGCCGGGGAUAUAGAAUGCGAAGUCAAUAAAAACAAAUUCGAAAUAGGCCUACAUGCACCCAAUUUCAUCGAUCACGGGAAUACAGGAUUGAUUACUACGUCGAUUAAACAUAAUCCUGAUAGAAUUAAUGUUCUUUUUUAAUUAAUUAAUACUCCAAAAAUAAAAACGUCCAACAUUACUUCUUUCAUGUAAACAGGGAUGUAUAUAUUCAACUUCAAUAUUAACUGUAGGACGUUAAACGACAUACAUGUACGAUCAAUAUAUUAACUGUAAAGCCUUAUGACCCCCUUCCCAAACACAGGCACCUGAAGUAUGGAUAAUACCCCCCCCCUUUUUUUUAUAUUUUUUUUUUAAUUUAACAAAAAAAAAAGGGGGGGUAUCAUCCAUACUUCAGGCGCCCGUGUUCCCAAAUACUCUUACAAUUAUGAGAAAGACAUUUUAUUUUCUUAAAAUAGGCAUUAGAAAUAGGAAUUUUCUUAUUUGUCUUAGCUAGAACAAUCCCCAAUUUAUCCAAUGUUGUCACCAAACAGGUCUGCACUGGGUCCAUAAGACAUUCAUCAUUCAAUGGUAGAACAUUUUAUCUACAUUUGUCAUAUUUUACAGAGAUCCAGGAGGUACUGAAAAAGGGACAAUGCUUCGACUGAAUGUGUCAUCCAUGUACCAGUAUAGACCUGUUAAUGAGGCAUAUCCAAUAAUUCUUAUACUCAUGAAGAGUGCGGCAACUCCCAAGUAGUUAAGGAUGGCACUCAUUUUAAAUCAGAUCCUCACUUCUAGGAUGUUUUCCAUGUUCUUGUGAAAAGUGUUUUACAUGGCACCAUUCAGCUACAAAUACUUUGCCGGUGGAACUGUGACAUCAAUCAACUGCUCAUGCCACUGCUAAUUGGCAGAAUUUCCUUUGGGACAAGCAAACUGUUUCAAAUAUUUUACACCUGCAAGUAGUGAUGAGUGUACUGGAAGUUUUUUCGGGAUCUUGUCCGACAUCAUAGGUACAACUGGUCACUGUGCUUUCUUGGUUAUAUAAGCAGGCAUAUUGUUAAAGCGGUGACACAUGUAGCUUCAAAUGAUGCUUGACUGUUUAAGUGUUUUUCUUUGAUUUAUAAGUAAACCUGGAUUGAUCUCUGAUGCAGUAAUAUAGAGCCAUGUCCAUUCUUUAAUAUUCCAUCAUCCCACUGUCACAAAGUACUGAAAUAAAAAUGAUUUUGAUUUUAAAAA
Saccostrea cuccullata (small rock oyster) is the source of this 1263-nucleotide long non-coding RNA. RefSeq lists it as uncharacterized. The record is from RefSeq and is a predicted model, not a curated record. The transcript is spliced from 4 exons. NCBI's taxonomy places the organism in Eukaryota, Metazoa, Mollusca, Bivalvia, Ostreida, Ostreidae.